AUUUUUACCCUACCAUCUAUCUGAACUAAUCCUCCACGGUGUUUGCAGUUCGGUAGAAUCCUUCACUAAUGGAACAGUAUCAAGGAAUAUUUUCACGAUAUGCGAAUUUUUAUAGUUUAUUCGGUUAUGAUUACGGAAUCAACAGCAAAUUUUCGCGUUGGGUUCUACCACGAAAUUUAGCUUUGAUCGCAAUGAUAGUCUUAUUGAUCUUUCUAUCAAAUUAUCUCGACCUAAGUGAUAUAAAUGGGGAAAGCAACUAUGUGACUCAAGUUAUAUUUUAUUUAGCUACGUAUGUGAUCUUUUUAGGAGAAUCUUGGUGGAAUCGUCAUAAAUUCAGUGAAAUUUGGCAUAUUUUUGAAAGAAUUCACUCCCGAACAAGAGCUCUGAUUCAUAGCGACAUUUUAGUUCAGGCGUUAAAGGUUUUCUCAAAACGCUAUGUACGGACAGUAUCGAUUCUUGCAUCGCAAAUUACGUUUUUGUCUCUCGUUUGCCUCUGUGGAAUGUAUUUUUUGGCUCCAUACAAUUUGCUUAUUAUUUGGCGAGUACAGCUCUGUAUAGUGCAACAAUUGAUAGAAUUCCGACAGUUUCAAAUUACCUUCUACGUGCAACUUCUUCAUCUGUAUCUGACAGAACUUAAGUUAAUAGUGGAAGUUUUGGCCAGAGAUACUGUUUUACUUAACUGUUCGUUGUUGGAGAAAAGGAAGUUACAUUAUGUGAUGAAUUUGUACCAUGAUUUAUAUAGUUUAUCUGAAUAUUUGAAUGCACAAUUCGGCAUAUCUAUGUUGUUGAUUAUCGUUCGAUGGAAUUUUCAGUUAUUGGUUGAUUCCUUCUGGUUGGCACAAGCAGUGGCAAAACACGAGGGAUGGAUUCUAAUUUUUCAGGUAAUGCCAAUUUUCAGCCAUCUUGUGUCUUUACUUGUAUUCGUGAGAUCAUGCGAACAAUUGAGUCAUACCGAUAAAAUAAUUCAAGCUAAAUUUGAAAAAUUAAGUUCUCCGAAAUAUUUGGAAGAUGAUUAUAUGAAUGAGUUGACACAUUGCUUUAUUUUACAAACGAAACAUGGUAGCAUAAAUAUUACUGGUAUGGACUGUAUCGUUGUGAACUACUAUUCAAUAGCUUCAGCGGUUGUCUCUAUAUUCACAUAUUUGGCCGUUUACAUCGAGCUGGAAAGAAACAAGCAACGGAUGCAUUCAUAAAUCUGUGACAUACACUGGAUCAACAUUACUACGAGAAUUAUAAUUGCUGUUAUCAUCAGAAAUUGAAAUUUUAAGUACGUUAUCGCAAUGUAAGAAGCACCUCAAUAAAACAGAUUACUAUCCAUUACUAUGUUUAUUAUACUACAAUACUACCAUCGAAAAUUUGAAUGUUAUCAUAUACUCAGCUCGGCUUUCGUGAAAAAAUGAACUAAUAUUAUCCUUGUACUGCUUUCAACUGAUAUUCAAAUGGCAAAAACGGUAUCUGUAUUUUAGGAAAUAAAAGAAGGUGUCGAUUCAGUUUCUAUUGAUGUUCUUUUUGCUAAGCUCCACCAACAUCGUUUGUUCGGUGCACUACACUGGUCAAUGCUCACGGUGUAUUCAGAGCAUCUUUUCUUAUACUAUUCUGAUGUAGCCUGAAAAACGAAAACGCUAAAAGAAACAAAAAAUAUGAUUCUUUGUUUACAUUUAUUCUUCAGGCGGUUGUCUCUAUAUUCACAUAUUUGGCCGUUUACAUCGAGCUGGAAAGAAACAAGCAACGGAUGCAUUCAUAAAUCUGUGACAUACACUGGAUCAACAUUACUACGAGAAUUAUAAUUGCUGUUAUCAUCAGAAAUUGAAAUUUUAAUUCAGCUAAUCCCCUUCAUCAGCCAUCUUGUGUCGUUACUUGUAUUCGUAAGAUCGUGCGAACAGCUGACUCAUACCGAUAAAUUAAUUCACGCCAAGUUUGAAAAGCUGAGUUCCUCUUGGUGUCUUGAGGAUGAAUAUAUGAAUCAGCUGACACAUUCUUUCAUUCUACAAACGAAACAUACCAGAAUAAUUAUUACUGCCAUGGACUGUGUUAUCGUGAACUACUAUUCAAUAGUUUCAGUAGCUGUCUCUAUACUAACAUAUUUUGCGCUUUACAUAGAAGUGGAAAAGAAAUGGCAACGGUUGUAUGGAGAGAUCGAUGCCUAGUGACCUUUGGGCAUAAACUGAAUGAAUAUUACCAUGUAGACUGUUAUUGCUGUUACCAUCUGAAAUCAUCAAUAACAUAUUGUUGUUUUUUUUGCACACUGCGCUUUAAAAUAAAAAUAUAAAAAUAAUAUGUCAAUACUUGUGUUUGAAGUAGUUUGCACCUUGUUUUUCUAUCACACGUAACAGGUGAACCUGUGAAACUUGAACUAGUUUGCAAAUGAUUAUUGGGUAAAUAUUUUCAUACAAUUUUAUUAUUAAAUUCAAAAAAAAG
Malaya genurostris is the source of this 2418-nucleotide RNA transcript. RefSeq lists it as uncharacterized. The record is from RefSeq and is a predicted model, not a curated record. The transcript is spliced from 7 exons. NCBI's taxonomy places the organism in Eukaryota, Metazoa, Arthropoda, Insecta, Diptera, Culicidae.